RNAcentral lists this ribosomal RNA (220 nucleotides) under Hyphomicrobiales bacterium. RNAcentral describes it as "partial 16S ribosomal RNA". It matches the Rfam family "Bacterial small subunit ribosomal RNA", at positions 1 to 247 of the family's 1533-position model. The record is from RNAcentral. Lineage: Bacteria; Pseudomonadati; Pseudomonadota; Alphaproteobacteria; Hyphomicrobiales.
CAACUUGAGAGUUUGAUCCUGGCUCAGAACGAACGCUUGCGGCAGGCCUAACACAUGCAAGUCGAACGGGCGUAGCAAUACGUCAGUGGCAGACGGGUGAGUAACACGUGGGAACAUACCCCUCGGUUCGGAAUAACUCAGGGAAACUUGAGCUAAUACCGGAUACGGCCGGGAGGCGAAAGAUUUAUCGCCGAGGGAUUGGCCCGCGUCCGAUUAGCUA